UACAGAGGUGGCAAGCGUUGUUCGGAAUUACUGGGCGUAAAGGGCGCGUAGGCGGUCUUAUAAGUCUCGUGUGAAAUCCCUCGGCUUAACUGAGGAACUGCACGGGAUACUGCAAGACUUGAGAUCGGGAGAGGGAAGCGGAAUUCCGGGUGUAGCGGUGAAAUGCGUAGAUAUCCGGAGGAACACCGGUGGCGAAGGCGGCUUCCUGGACCGACACUGACGCUGAGGCGCGAAAGCUAGGGGAGCAAACGGG
RNAcentral lists this ribosomal RNA (253 nucleotides) under uncultured bacterium. RNAcentral's name for it is "partial 16S ribosomal RNA". It matches the Rfam family "Bacterial small subunit ribosomal RNA", at positions 524 to 776 of the family's 1533-position model. The record is from RNAcentral.